Molecule: long non-coding RNA, 1078 nt
Filed under: Lepidothrix coronata (blue-crowned manakin)
Lineage: Eukaryota; Metazoa; Chordata; Aves; Passeriformes; Pipridae
Description: lncRNA (ENSLCOG00000012510.1)
Source: RNAcentral
CUUGAAACUGUAUCCUCUGAAAAGAAACAGCAGAAAGACACAUCUCUAAUUACAUUUUCCUCCAUCCCCACCACAGGUACUGUACCAAGAUUACUGUUUCCUGAGGGCUGGAUACACAUUCAGCCUUCCCAGCUGGAAAAGGCAAAGUACUUUCUCCUCAGGAUGUCCUGUUUCAAACCUGCAUUGGAAGUAGCACAAAGCCAAACCAGCCCCUUGUUUUCCUGCUUCAUCCCAGUGGAAAAAAAAAUCCCUGAAGUCAAUCUAUCAAACUCAGAGGAGACAUCAGUGAUGGAUGGAAUCCUCCUUGUGAUUCUAUUAUUUACACUCCAGGUGGCACAGAAGGAUGGACCUGCCUGGUGACCAAAUCAGUUGGGUUGCAGAAUUACAGAAAAUUGUUGAUAAACACACUCUCUCCUGGGAGCUUAUCUGGAAGCUUGAAAUGGAGCUAAUGCCCAUCUCAGGAGAAAAGCCAAACUGCACAACAAAAUGCAUGUACAGAAGGCUCUGAGCAUCCUCACUCUGAUGCGUUAUUCAAAGAACUGAAAUGAAAAAUCUGAAAUCUUCCUCAAGCACCUGCACUGACAAAUGCUGCACAUGCAUUGGUAUCAACAGAUCACACAGCUCUGCUUCAGGUGCACCAUCAGAGGGAUAUAUUUUUCUCUUCUUGUAUGAAGGAGGGAUUUCAGAGAGGGUUCCAAGCACAGCUGCUGCUGCCCCUUGGCCAGCUCUGCCCUGUGUGUGAGCACCACUGCUGGGACCUCCCAGUGUCCCACGGGCCUCGUUGGGUCAGCAAAGUCUCAGAACGUGAUCCCUAAGGAGCAAACACUGACUGCAUAUUUAAUGUUUCCAGUGGCUCGUGGAAGUUCAAACCCUUUCACAAACUUCUGUCAGCCUUUUGCUGUAUUUUCACCAUCCUACAGGCAGGACAAACCCAUGGCUGAUGCUCCACUUGAAUGAGACAACACAGAGUGCUGGGUGGGAGACAACUUCCUUUCCUGGGAGGGUGCCUGGGAUAUUUUUUCAGAGAGUUUUCUAACAAUUAAAUAAACUUCUUUCAAAAGCAAAAUAAGCCUAUAAG